GAUUGAACGCUGGCGGGAUGCUUUACAUGCAAGUCGGGCAGCACGGACUUCGGUCUGGUGGCGAGUGGCGAACGGGUGAGUAAUGUCGGAACGUGCUAUUGGCGGGGGAUUAACUACGCGAAAGCGUAGCUAAUACCAUACGCCCUUCGGAGGAAAGCGAGACCUUCGGGCCUGCGCACUAUUAGAGCGGCGAUAUCGGAUUAGCUAGUUGGUGGGGUAACGGCUCACCAAGGCAGCGAUCCGUAGCUGGUUUGAGAGGACGACCAGCCACACUGGGACUGAGGACACCGGCCCAGACUCCUACGGGAGGCAGCAGUGGGGAAUUUUGGACAAUGGGGAAACCCUGAUCCAGCCGCUCCCGCGUGUGCGAUGACCUUCAGGGUUGUAAGCCUUUUGGCAGGAAAGAAACGGCACGGGAUAAUACCCCGUGCAACUGACGGUCACCUGCAGAAUAAGCACCGGCUAACUACGUGCCAGCAGCCGCGGUAAUACGUAGGGUGCAAGCGUUAAUCGGAAUUACUGGGCGUAAAGCGUGCGCGAGCGGUUCGGAAAAGAAGAUGUGAAAUCCGAGCUUAACUUUGGAACUGCAUUUUUAACUACCGAGCUGAGUGUCGGAGGUGGAAUUCGCCGAUAUCAACGGUGAAAUGUCGAUAUGGAGGAACACCGAUGGCGAAGGCAACCUCCUGGGAUAGUUCCUGACGCUCAUGCACGAAAGCGUGGGGAGCAAACAGGAUUAGAUACCCUGGUAGUCCACGCCCUAAACGAUGUCAACCGCUGUUGGGCAUGGGCCUUGGUAGCGCAGCUAACGCGUGAAGUUGAUAGCGCCUGCGGGAAGUACGGUCGCAAGAUUAAAACUCAAAGGGGUGACGGGGACCCGCACAAGCGGUGGAUGAUGUGGAUUAAUUCGAUGCAGCAUGAAAAACCUUCACCUACCCUUGACAUGUCUGGAAUCGAAGAGAUUUUGGGAGUGCUCGCAAGAGAACCGGAACACAGGUGCUGCAUGGCUGUCGUCAGCUCGUGUCGUGAGAUGUUGGGUUAAAUUCCGCGGCAGGCGCAACCCUUGUCUUAGUUGCUACGAGGCACUCUAAUGAGACUGCCGGUGACAAACCGGAGGAAGGUGGGGAUGACGUCAGGAUGCUCAUGGCCCUUAUGGGUAGGGCUUCACGUCAUACAAUGGUCGGGACAGAGGGUCGCCAACCCGCGAGGGGGGAGCCAAUCCCAGAAACCCGAUCGUAGUCCGGAUCGCAGUCUGCAACUCGACUGCGUGAAGUCGAAAUCGCUAGUAAUCGCGGAUCAGCAUGUCGCGGUGAAUACGUUCCGGGUCUUGUACACACCGCCCACGUCACACCAUGGGAGUGGGUUUUACCAAGUAGUUAGCCUAACCGUAAGGAGGGCGAUUACCACGGUAGGAUUCAUGACUGAGGUGAAUCGUAGCUAAAGGUAG
Molecule: ribosomal RNA, 1444 nt
Filed under: uncultured Bordetella sp.
Lineage: Bacteria; Pseudomonadati; Pseudomonadota; Betaproteobacteria; Burkholderiales; Alcaligenaceae
Description: partial 16S-23S ribosomal RNA intergenic spacer
Rfam family: Bacterial small subunit ribosomal RNA
Source: RNAcentral